RNAcentral lists this ribosomal RNA (520 nucleotides) under Kocuria sp. CMT803. RNAcentral describes it as "bacterial SSU rRNA". It matches the Rfam family "Bacterial small subunit ribosomal RNA", at positions 340 to 870 of the family's 1533-position model. Lineage: Bacteria; Bacillati; Actinomycetota; Actinomycetes; Micrococcales; Micrococcaceae. The record is from RNAcentral.
UACGGGAGGCAGCAGUGGGGAAUAUUGCACAAUGGGCGGAAGCCUGAUGCAGCGACGCCGCGUGAGGGAUGACGGCCUUCGGGUUGUAAACCUCUUUCAGUAGGGAAGAAGCGCAAGUGACGGUACCUGCAGAAGAAGCGCCGGCUAACUACGUGCCAGCAGCCGCGGUAAUACGUAGGGCGCAAGCGUUGUCCGGAAUUAUUGGGCGUAAAGAGCUCGUAGGCGGUCUGUCGCGUCUGCUGUGAAAGCCCGGGGCUCAACCCCGGGUCUGCAGUGGGUACGGGCAGACUAGAGUGCAGUAGGGGAGACUGGAAUUCCUGGUGUAGCGGUGAAAUGCGCAGAUAUCAGGAGGAACACCGAUGGCGAAGGCAGGUCUCUGGGCUGUUACUGACGCUGAGGAGCGAAAGCAUGGGGAGCGAACAGGAUUAGAUACCCUGGUAGUCCAUGCCGUAAACGUUGGGCACUAGGUGUGGGGGACAUUCCACGUUCUCCGCGCCGUAGCUAACGCAUUAAGUGCCCC